GACGCUGUACAAAUCGUCUGCUCCGUGAGGUGAGGGCAUGAGGCCAACUCAAUAUCUCUGUCCCACCGUUCUCCACAACGAAAGAAAAAAAACUUUGUCUUCCCCAACUACUCUGAAUAGAUCGGGGGCAUGUGAAACCUAGGAGCGCCGCCGCCGGUUUGAUCUCACCCCCAACGACCUCUCCGUACGCCCUUCUUCAGAGUUCUGCAGCCCUCCUGUCUUCCAUGAUGUUCAUCCAUGAGCGCCCAGAUCUGGUGUUGCAGAUCUUUUUUUUCAUCACCGGCACAAGUGGUCAACGGCUCUCCACCAUUUGUUUGUCAACUGCUUGUUGAUUUGCGUAACUGGCUGUUUCAGAGGCAUCGAGCGCUCACAUCAUCAGGUUUGGUCCGGUUUGUAUUCAAUGUUAUAUACAGGUAGGGACGUAGGGUGCUCCCUAGAUUUAAUGGAAUAAAAUUGCUUUCUCUUUUGAGUUCAUUGCUACAACAUAGAAUGAGAUUUUUACAAAGUCUAAAAUUAAGCAGUCAUUGGUAGAUCGUUGUUGCUACAGAUAUACAAGCACAUAAGUUAUUGACUAUUUUCAUGUAUUUGUAUGUCGAUGUAUAUAUAUGUUGAUGCUUGAUUAACUCAGUCUUAUCUAUUCCUGCAUUUCAAGUAUUUCACUUCGAUUUUGUUGUUAGUAUCGGGUACAAGUAAACUAUGGUGGUAUCAAGACAUAAUUUAGAAGUCAUAGAUGUGAACCAUGCAAUCUGUUUGUUUUUAUUAUUCUUCGACCUUAAUAUAUAGACUUUAUAUUCCAUUAUUCUGCAGCUUUUGUAGAUUAUUUGCAUUUCUAAUUUAGCCAUUGUUGUGAACUAAAAGAAUUGCUCCUUCAGCAUGAUGAACUCACAAAGGCAAUGCUAAGGUACAUUCCAGUUUGUUUUCUUCUAAGUUUGAAGCGUGUUUCAUCGGAUACCAUGGGCAAUUAUCUAAUCCUCUAAAGUCUUAUUUAUUUAACUGCAUCCAUAUAUGUAAUAAUAUUUUAUUCAAUCAAGUACAUAACAAAAUAUCAUUUUUGAUGUACAUGCUUCACACGCUGAAUCCUUAGUGUGGUGUCUAAACUAAGAUCUACUUAUCUUUAGUUUUCUACAGAAGUGAGCACAUGUUUUCUACAAAAGUAAGCACAUGUUUUCUACAGAACUAGGCUCUACUUAUCUUUUGUUUUGUACACAAGUAACCAACUCUUUCUGUACGGCUAUUAAGCAUUUGGUAAUUGUUUUUCUUGCAGCAGCCAGUUGGUAUGCAAUAAUAUACCAAUGUGAAUAGAUGGUGCUCCAUUAGGUGAAUGAGAAUACUGCUCUGAUGGCAAAACACCCAUGUGAAAUUAUUUUUGAUGGUUUUUAAGCAACAACACAGAACACAGCAAGGAAAACAAGCAGUAGCGGCGACGGAGAGCUGAUGUACCAUUUCUGCAUGCGGAAGCUUGUAGAGAUAAUCCGACUACUAGAAGAAAAUGUAUAAGAUUUAGAGGAUUUUUCCUGGUUAAGUUUGUAAUUAUUUCAUGAAAAUGUACAAAUCAGAUGUAAAGUACUGUUGUGCUCAAUCAAUAAAGUUUUUUUCUUCAAAAGAA
Molecule: long non-coding RNA, 1606 nt
Organism: Lolium perenne
Lineage: Eukaryota; Viridiplantae; Streptophyta; Magnoliopsida; Poales; Poaceae
Source: RefSeq, a predicted model, not a curated record